Molecule: ribosomal RNA, 511 nt
Filed under: Fusarium sp. ZL-2014
Lineage: Eukaryota; Fungi; Ascomycota; Sordariomycetes; Hypocreales; Nectriaceae
Description: eukaryotic LSU rRNA
Rfam family: 5.8S ribosomal RNA (bases 161-314)
Source: RNAcentral
AGGGAUCAUUACCGAGUUUACAACUCCCAAACCCCUGUGAACAUACCUAUACGUUGCCUCGGCGGAUCAGCCCGCGCCCCGUAAAACGGGACGGCCCGCCCGAGGACCCCUAAACUCUGUUUUUAGUGGAACUUCUGAGUAAAACAAACAAAUAAAUCAAAACUUUCAACAACGGAUCUCUUGGUUCUGGCAUCGAUGAAGAACGCAGCAAAAUGCGAUAAGUAAUGUGAAUUGCAGAAUUCAGUGAAUCAUCGAAUCUUUGAACGCACAUUGCGCCCGCCAGUAUUCUGGCGGGCAUGCCUGUUCGAGCGUCAUUUCAACCCUCAAGCUCAGCUUGGUGUUGGGACUCGCGGUAACCCGCGUUCCCCAAAUCGAUUGGCGGUCACGUCGAGCUUCCAUAGCGUAGUAAUCAUACACCUCGUUACUGGUAAUCGUCGCGGCCACGCCGUAAAACCCCAACUUCUGAAUGUUGACCUCGGAUCAGGUAGGAAUACCCGCUGAACUUAAGCAU